AACAGCUAUUAUAUACUUGAUCUUGAUAUCCUACGUGGAUAACUGUGGUAAUUCUAGAGCUAAUACAUGCACCAAAGCUCCGACUCGUUGACGAGCGCAUCUAUUAGAUUAAAACCAAUCGGGUUUCGGCCCGUCAAUUGGUGACUCUGAAUAACUAUGGCUGAUCGCAUGGUCUCGCACCGGCGACGUGUCUAUCAAGUGUCUGCCUUAUCAACUUUCGAUGGUAGUUUAUGUGCCUACCAUGGUUGUAACGGGUAACGGAGAAUAAGGGUUCGACUCCGGAGAGGGAGCCUGAGAAACGGCUACCACAUCCAAGGAAGGCAGCAGGCGCGCAAAUUACCCACUCUCGGCAUGAGGAGGUAGUGACGAAAAAUAACGAGGCCGUUCUCUAUGAGGCCGGUCAUCGGAAUGGGUACAAUUUAAACCCGUUAACGAGGAUCUAUGAGAGGGCAAGUCUGGUGCCAGCAGCCGCGGUAAUUCCAGCUCUCAAAGUGUAUAUCGUCAUUGCUGCGGUUAAAAAGCUCGUAGUUGGAUCUGCGCCUCAGGACUCGGUCCGCCCCCUGGGCGUUUACUGGGCUCCUAGGCUAGUACUGUUGGUUUUCCCUACGUUGCCUUCAUCGGUCGCGUAGGGUGGCUAGCGAGUUUACUUUGAAAAAAUUAGAGUGCUUCACGCGGGCUUAUGUCUGAAUACUCGUGCAUGGAAUAAUAGAAUAGGAUCUCGGUUCUAUUUUGUUGGUUUUCUGAUCUGAGAUAAUGGUUAAGAGGGACAGACGGGGGCAUUCGUAUCGCUGCGUGAGAGG
This 800-nucleotide ribosomal RNA is filed under the name Cruzia tentaculata. Its description in RNAcentral is "SSU rRNA". It matches the Rfam family "Eukaryotic small subunit ribosomal RNA", at positions 105 to 911 of the family's 1831-position model. Lineage: Eukaryota; Metazoa; Nematoda; Chromadorea; Rhabditida; Kathlaniidae. The record is from RNAcentral.